UACGUAGGGGGCAAGCGUUGUCCGGAAUUAUUGGGCGUAAAGAGCGCGUAGGCGGUCCGAUAAGUCGGCUGUGAAAGUCAGGGGCUCAACCCUUGGAAGCCGGCCGAUACUGUCGGACUAGAGUCCGGAAGAGGCGAGUGGAAUUCCCGGUGUAGCGGUGAAAUGCGCAGAUAUCGGGAGGAACACCAAUGGCGAAGGCAGCUCGCUGGGACGGUACUGACGCUGAGGCGCGAAGGCGUGGGGAGCAAACAGG
This 253-nucleotide ribosomal RNA is filed under the name uncultured bacterium. RNAcentral's name for it is "partial 16S ribosomal RNA". It matches the Rfam family "Bacterial small subunit ribosomal RNA", at positions 524 to 776 of the family's 1533-position model. The record is from RNAcentral.